Molecule: long non-coding RNA, 305 nt
Organism: Sitophilus oryzae (rice weevil)
Lineage: Eukaryota; Metazoa; Arthropoda; Insecta; Coleoptera; Curculionidae
Exons: 3
Source: RefSeq, a predicted model, not a curated record
UGUUUUUUUACGUUUUUGGUAUCACGUUUUAUGCAUUUCGAAUGAGAUUUUAAUGAAUGUAAAUCUUUUAGCCAACUGAAAAUUGAAGUAGAUAAAACCAGGAUACGAAUAUAUCAAUCUAAUGAUAAAAUCACAAAUAAAGGGGCCUCAAAGAUUACUGUCACAAGAGAAAUGAUUGGAUAUAGAUUUCAAAACUUUACUGAAGAGGAAUUUGAAACUAUGAAUAAGACAAGUCAACAUGCGAAGACAAAAUAUGAAAGAUCCAAAAAAUCAAUUAAAAUAUAAGUUUGCCUUUCCUUGUACAU